Long non-coding RNA from Macadamia integrifolia, 637 nucleotides. RefSeq lists it as uncharacterized. The record is from RefSeq and is a predicted model, not a curated record. The transcript has 4 exons. Lineage: Eukaryota; Viridiplantae; Streptophyta; Magnoliopsida; Proteales; Proteaceae.
CAUUGGGGAGAGGAGAGGAGAAGAAAGAAAGGAAAAAGAAGAAGAAGAAGAGAAGAAGAGGAGAAGAGGAGAAGAAGGAAGGAAGGCUGAAAUUUUUGGGUUGAAUAGGCUGCUGCUACUGCAUGCUACUGAUCCCUUCUACUGCUGCCUACCCAAUUCUGCUACAUGCUUGCUUUUGGACCUACUGCUGUUCUUGUAGCUGAACAGAUCAAGUCUUUGUGCAAAACUAUGCAAACAAGCUGAAAAAGGAGUUGUGCAUGUGGCUUCUGUACGUGGCUGCUGUACCUACUGCUGUACCUGCAAAAUUAAGGCAAAAUUUCCAUAACAGUUCGACGGUUACUGCCAAACAAAGCUAUGUGGUAAUGGAUGUAACAUUGACAGUCUAAGGCACGGUGGGGCCAAGGUUCUUUCCAGUACGGUGGGCGCAAAGAUGGUGGAACCAGUGCUGAGGUAGGAUUGGAUUUCAGCGGCGGUUGUGGGGUUGUGUCUACGUGACAUCGGGAUGUUGAUGGACUUCACUUCUAUUAUUCAGAUAUUCCUUUUAUGUAUAUAUUUAUGAGAUGUGUAUUAAGUAAAAUUGUGACUUGUGGUUGUAUUUAGACAUUGAAUUUAUAUAAUGUAAUUUAUCACUUUAGUA